Molecule: non-coding RNA, 69 nt
Organism: Rattus norvegicus (Norway rat)
Lineage: Eukaryota; Metazoa; Chordata; Mammalia; Rodentia; Muridae
Source: Rfam
GGAGACUUAGCUCAGCGGUAGAGCGCUUGCCUAGGAAGCGCAAGGCCCUGGGUUCGGUCCCCAGCUCCG